Non-coding RNA from Parelaphostrongylus tenuis, 73 nucleotides. NCBI's taxonomy places the organism in Eukaryota, Metazoa, Nematoda, Chromadorea, Rhabditida, Metastrongylidae. The record is from the annotation of a GenBank genome assembly.
GCCUCGGUGGUGUAACGGUUCAGCACACGCUUCCGAAAAGAGCGAGAUCUGGGUUUGAAUCCCUGCUAACGCA